GCCGACGUAGCUCAGUUGGUAGAGCACAUCCAUGGUAAGGAUGGGGUCACGGGUUCAAGUCCCGUCGUUGGCUCAA
RNAcentral lists this transfer RNA (76 nucleotides) under Lutibacter sp. RNAcentral describes it as "tRNA-Thr". It matches the Rfam family "tRNA". From Rfam's summary of the family: Transfer RNA (tRNA) molecules are approximately 80 nucleotides in length. Their secondary structure includes four short double-helical elements and three loops (D, anti-codon, and T loops). The record is from RNAcentral. Lineage: Bacteria; Pseudomonadati; Bacteroidota; Flavobacteriia; Flavobacteriales; Flavobacteriaceae.